RNAcentral lists this ribosomal RNA (791 nucleotides) under uncultured archaeon. RNAcentral's name for it is "bacterial SSU rRNA". It matches the Rfam family "Archaeal small subunit ribosomal RNA", at positions 85 to 879 of the family's 1478-position model. The record is from RNAcentral.
ACGGCUCAGUAACACGUAGUCAACAUGCCCAGGGGACGUGGAUAACCUCGGGAAACUGAGGAUAAACCGCGAUAAGUCAUUACUUCUGGAAUGGGUAAUGACUAAAAUCUACAUGGCCCCUGGAUUGGACUGCGGCCGAUCAGGCUGUCGGUGAGGUAAUGGCCCACCAAACCUGUAACCGGUACGGGCUCUGAGAGGAGGAGCCCGGAGAUGGGCACUGAGACAAGGGCCCAGGCCCUAUGGGGCGCAGCAGGCGCGAAACCUCUGCAAUAGGCGAAAGCCUGACAGGGUUACUCUGAGUGAUUUCCGUUAAGGAGAUCUUUUGGCACCUCUAAAAAUGGUGCAGAAUAAGGGGUGGGCAAGUCUGGUGUCAGCCGCCGCGGUAAUACCAGCACCCCGAGUGGUCGGGACGUUUAUUGGGCCUAAAGCAUCCGUAGCCGGUUCUACAAGUCUUCCGUUAAAUCCACCUGCUUAACAGAUGGGCUGCGGAAGAUACUAUAGAGCUAGGAGGCGGGAGAGGCAAGCGGUACUCGAUGGGUAGGGGUAAAAUCCGUUGAUCCAUUGAAGACCACCAGUGGCGAAGGCGGCUUGCCAGAACGCGCUCGACGGUGAGGGAUGAAAGCUGGGGGAGCAAACCGGAUUAGAUACCCGGGUAGUCCCAGCUGUAAACGAUGCAGACUCGGUGAUGAGUUGGCUUCUUGCCAACUCAGUGCCGCAGGGAAGCCGUUAAGUUUGCCGCCUGGGGAGUACGGUCGCAAGACUGAAACUUAAAGGAAUUGGCGGGGGAGCAC